UGUGUUCUAUCCUUCAUUCCACCGGAGUCUGUAUGUGUAUUUAACCAGAUUUCAGUGGUGUGAAGUGUAAGAGACAUGG
Molecule: microRNA precursor, 79 nt
Filed under: Takifugu rubripes (torafugu)
Lineage: Eukaryota; Metazoa; Chordata; Actinopteri; Tetraodontiformes; Tetraodontidae
Description: microRNA fru-mir-205 precursor
Gene: fru-mir-205
Rfam family: mir-205 microRNA precursor family
Source: miRBase by way of RNAcentral